This 1029-nucleotide ribosomal RNA is filed under the name Frigoribacterium endophyticum. RNAcentral's name for it is "bacterial SSU rRNA". It matches the Rfam family "Bacterial small subunit ribosomal RNA", at positions 56 to 1100 of the family's 1533-position model. The record is from RNAcentral. Lineage: Bacteria; Bacillati; Actinomycetota; Actinomycetes; Micrococcales; Microbacteriaceae.
UGCAGUCGAACGAUGAACUGGAGCUUGCUCCAGGAAUUAGUGGCGAACGGGUGAGUAACACGUGAGUAACCUGCCCUUGACUCUGGGAUAAGCGCUAGAAAUGGCGUCUAAUACCGGAUACGAGCUUCAGCCGCAUGGCUAGGAGUUGGAAAGAAUUUUGGUCAAGGAUGGACUCGCGGCCUAUCAGCUAGUUGGUGAGGUAAUGGCUCACCAAGGCGACGACGGGUAGCCGGCCUGAGAGGGUGACCGGCCACACUGGGACUGAGACACGGCCCAGACUCCUACGGGAGGCAGCAGUGGGGAAUAUUGCACAAUGGGCGAAAGCCUGAUGCAGCAACGCCGCGUGAGGGAUGACGGCCUUCGGGUUGUAAACCUCUUUUAGUAGGGAAGAAGCGAAAGUGACGGUACCUGCAGAAAAAGCACCGGCUAACUACGUGCCAGCAGCCGCGGUAAUACGUAGGGUGCAAGCGUUGUCCGGAAUUAUUGGGCGUAAAGAGCUCGUAGGCGGUUUGUCGCGUCUGCUGUGAAAUCUGGGGGCUCAACCCCCAGCCUGCAGUGGGUACGGGCAGACUAGAGUGCGGUAGGGGAGAUUGGAAUUCCUGGUGUAGCGGUGGAAUGCGCAGAUAUCAGGAGGAACACCGAUGGCGAAGGCAGAUCUCUGGGCCGUAACUGACGCUGAGGAGCGAAAGCAUGGGGAGCGAACAGGAUUAGAUACCCUGGUAGUCCAUGCCGUAAACGUUGGGAACUAGAUGUGGGGGCCAUUCCACGGUCUCCGUGUCGCAGCUAACGCAUUAAGUUCCCCGCCUGGGGAGUACGGCCGCAAGGCUAAAACUCAAAGGAAUUGACGGGGGCCCGCACAAGCGGCGGAGCAUGCGGAUUAAUUCGAUGCAACGCGAAGAACCUUACCAAGGCUUGACAUAUACCGGAAACGUCCAGAGAUGGUCGCCCCGCAAGGUCGGUAUACAGGUGGUGCAUGGUUGUCGUCAGCUCGUGUCGUGAGAUGUUGGGUUAAGUCCCGCAACGAGCGCA